UGGGAUGGCUCAGUUGGUAGAGCAGCUGAUUCGUAAUCAGCAGGUCGUGGGUUCGAGUCCCAUUCUCA
This 68-nucleotide transfer RNA is filed under the name human gut metagenome. It matches the Rfam family "tRNA". Rfam says of the family: Transfer RNA (tRNA) molecules are approximately 80 nucleotides in length. Their secondary structure includes four short double-helical elements and three loops (D, anti-codon, and T loops). The record is from RNAcentral. RNAcentral also lists the same sequence under 2 other names.